RNAcentral lists this ribosomal RNA (252 nucleotides) under uncultured bacterium. Its description in RNAcentral is "partial 16S ribosomal RNA". It matches the Rfam family "Bacterial small subunit ribosomal RNA", at positions 524 to 776 of the family's 1533-position model. The record is from RNAcentral.
UACGGAGGAUGCGAGCGUUAUCCGGAUUUAUUGGGUUUAAAGGGUGCGUAGGCGGGCUUUUAGGUCAGCGGUAAAAAUUCGGGGCUCAACCCCGUCCGGCCGUUGAAACUGGGGGUCUUGAGUGGGCGAGAAGAAGGCGGAAUGCGUGGUGUAGCGGUGAAAUGCAUAGAUAUCACGCAGAACCCCGAUUGCGAAGGCAGCCUUCCGGCGCCCUACUGACGCUGAGGCACGAAAGUGCGGGGAUCGAACAGG